Molecule: ribosomal RNA, 253 nt
Filed under: uncultured bacterium
Lineage: Bacteria
Description: partial 16S ribosomal RNA
Rfam family: Bacterial small subunit ribosomal RNA
Source: RNAcentral
UACGUAGGGGGCAAGCGUUGUCCGGAUUUAUUGGGCGUAAAGAGCGUGUAGGCGGCUAGAUAGGUCCGUUGUGAAAACUCGAGGCUCAACCUCGAGACGUCGAUGGAAACCAUCUAGCUAGAGUCCGGAAGAGGAGAGUGGAAUUCCUGGUGUAGCGGUGAAAUGCGCAGAUAUCAGGAAGAACACCCGUGGCGAAGGCGGCUCUCUGGGACGGUACUGACGCUGAGACGCGAAAGCGUGGGGAGCGAACAGG